Molecule: long non-coding RNA, 576 nt
Filed under: Junco hyemalis (dark-eyed junco)
Lineage: Eukaryota; Metazoa; Chordata; Aves; Passeriformes; Passerellidae
Description: lncRNA (ENSJHYG00000015812.1)
Source: RNAcentral
GGCGGCAGCGGCGGCGGCGCGCGCUAAGCCGCGGGCGCCCGGCGGGUACCGGGAGCGCCUCCCCGGGCGGGCGGCGACCCCUGGCCAGCGACACCCGGUCAUCAUCCGCCUGCCGCCCCUCGCCCACCACCGACCGACCACCGACCCCCAGCGCCGUGCAGGAGCCACGUGGGACAGGCAGUGUUUCCCUCUGGUCCCGGUUGCUGCUGUGCCAGCCUCAUGUGAGUAAAUGCUGGGGUGGAUUUGGUGAAGGUGUGUGUGUUUGCAGCUCCUGUCCUGGGGCAGAGCCCCCAGCCUGCAGAGCAGGAGGAGUGGUCCCUUGGGAAUAAAACAGGGUUUUUUGGGAAUAACAACAUUCAGGCUUCUUGGAGAUGCAGAGGGAAAUGUUUCUGUGAGAGCCCCUGUCAGCAGCUGCCUGUUUUAUCCAAGCCAGGAACGUUUACAGACCACGGCAGCACUAAUGGGGACAGUUGGUCGCUAAUCUUUGCAAAGACACAGAACUGAUUACACAGAAGGGUUCCCUGAGGCAGCCUGGAAGGUGCAGCACGAGGGUGACCCAGAGGCUGCUCUCUGGGU